GGUUUCUUGGCGCAGUUGGUCAGCGCGUCUCCUUAACAAGCCUUGUUCAAUAGAGCUGGACAGCUGGUUAAUCGGAGGAGGUCCUCAGUUCGAGCCUGGGAGAGAUCA
This 108-nucleotide transfer RNA is filed under the name Pseudozyma flocculosa. RNAcentral's name for it is "Anthracocystis flocculosa transfer RNA-Val(AAC)". The record is from RNAcentral. Lineage: Eukaryota; Fungi; Basidiomycota; Ustilaginomycetes; Ustilaginales; Ustilaginaceae.